This 500-nucleotide ribosomal RNA is filed under the name uncultured bacterium. RNAcentral's name for it is "partial 16S ribosomal RNA". It matches the Rfam family "Bacterial small subunit ribosomal RNA", at positions 30 to 523 of the family's 1533-position model. The record is from RNAcentral.
AUUGAACGCUGGCGGAAUGCUUUACACAUGCAAGUCGAACGGCAGCACGGGGGCAACCCUGGUGGCGAGUGGCGAACGGGUGAGUAAUACAUCGGAACGUGCCCAGUCGUGGGGGAUAACGUAGCGAAAGUUACGCUAAUACCGCAUACGAUCUACGGAUGAAAGCGGGGGACCGUAAGGCCUUGCGCGAUUGGAGCGGCCGAUGUCAGAUUAGGUAGUUGGUGAGGUAAAGGCUCACCAAGCCGACGAUCUGUAGCUGGUCUGAGAGGACGACCAGCCACACUGGGACUGAGACACGGCCCAGACUCCUACAGGAGGCAGCAGUGGGGAAUUUUGGACAAUGGGCGCAAGCCUGAUCCAGCCAUUCCGCGUGCAGGACGAAGGCCUUCGGGUUGUAAACUGCUUUUGUACGGUACGAAAAGGCUCUGGUUAAUACCUGGGGCUCAUGACGGUACCGUAAGAAUAAGCACCGGCUAACUACGUGCCAGCCGCCGCAGUAA